This 73-nucleotide transfer RNA is filed under the name Eubacteriaceae bacterium CHKCI005. It matches the Rfam family "tRNA". Rfam says of the family: Transfer RNA (tRNA) molecules are approximately 80 nucleotides in length. Their secondary structure includes four short double-helical elements and three loops (D, anti-codon, and T loops). Further hydrogen bonds mediate the characteristic L-shaped molecular structure. tRNAs have two regions of fundamental functional importance: the anti-codon, which is responsible for specific mRNA codon recognition, and the 3' end, to which the tRNAs corresponding amino acid is attached (by aminoacyl-tRNA synthetases). tRNAs cope with the degeneracy of the genetic code in two manners: having more than one tRNA (with a specific anti-codon) for a particular amino acid; and 'wobble' base-pairing, i.e. permitting non-standard base-pairing at the 3rd anti-codon position. The record is from Rfam by way of RNAcentral. Lineage: Bacteria; Bacillati; Bacillota; Clostridia; Eubacteriales; Eubacteriaceae.
UGGGGUGUCGCCAAGCGGUAAGGCAACGGACUUUGACUCCGUCAUUGCGCUGGUUCGAAUCCAGCCAUCCCAG